Molecule: unclassified non-coding RNA, 405 nt
Filed under: soil metagenome
Description: partial contains 5.8S ribosomal RNA, internal transcribed spacer 2, and large subunit ribosomal RNA
Rfam family: 5.8S ribosomal RNA (bases 1-121)
Source: RNAcentral
GAUGAAGAACGUAGCGAAAUGCGAUAAGUAAUGUGAAUUGCAGAAUUCAGUGAAUCAUCGAAUCUUUGAACGCACCUUGCGCCCUUUGGCCAUUCCGAAGGGCAUGCCUGUUUGAGUAUCAUGAACACCUCAACUCUUUAUGGUUUUCCAUGAUGAGCUUGGACUCUGGGGGUUUUGCUGGCUCACUGUCGGCUCCUCUAAAAUGAAUCAGCUUACCAGUGUUUGGUGGGUAUCAUGGGUGUGAUAACUAUCUACGCUUGUGGUUUUUCCACCAGGUAACCUUCAGCAGUGGAGGUUCGCUGGAGCUCAUAGAUGUCUCUCCUCAGUGAGGACAGCCCUUUGAAUGUUUGAUCUCAAAUCAGGUAGGACUACCCGCUGAACUUAAGCAUAUCAAUAAGCGGAGGA